GCAUGCAUGUCUAAGUAUAAGCAACUAUACUGUGAAACUGCGAAUGGCUCAUUAAAUCAGUUAUCGUUUAUUUGAUAGUACCUUACUACUUGGAUAACCGUGGUAAUUCUAGAGCUAAUACAUGCUAAAAACCCCGACUUCGGAAGGGGUGUAUUUAUUAGAUAAAAAACCAAUGCCCUUCGGGGCUCCUUGGUGAAUCAUGAUAACUUAACGAAUCGCAUGGCCUUGCGCCGGCGAUGGUUCAUUCAAAUUUCUGCCCUAUCAACUUUCGAUGGUAGGAUAGUGGCCUACCAUGGUAUCAACGGGUAACGGGGAAUUAGGGUUCUAUUCCGGAGAGGAGCCUGAGAAACGGCUACCACAUCCAAGGAAGGCAGCAGGCGCGCAAAUUACCCAAUCCCGACACGGGGAGGUAGUGACAAUAAAUACUGAUACAGGGCUCUUUUGGGUCUUGUAAUUGGAAUGAGUACAAUUUAAAUACCUUAACGAGGAACAAUUGGAGGCAAGUCUGGUGCCAGCAGCCGCGGUAAUUCCAGCUCCAAUAGCGUAUAUUAAAGUUGUUGCAGUUAAAAAGCUCGUAGUUGAACCUUGGGCCUGGCUGGCCGGUCUGCCUCACCGCAUGUACUGGUUCGGCCGGGCCUUUCCUCCUGGGGAUCCGCAUGCCCUUCACUGGGUGUGUUGGGGAACCAGGACUUUUACUUUGAAAAAAUUAGAGUGUUCAAAGCAGGCCUUUGCUCGAAUACAUUAGCAUGGAAUAAUAGAAUAGGACGUGCGGUCCUAUUUUGUUGGUUUCUAGGACCGCCGUAAUGAUUAAUAGGGAUAGUCGGGGGCAUCAGUAUUCAGUUGUCAGAGGUGAAAUUCUUGGAUUUACUGAAGACUAACUACUGCGAAAGCAUUUGCCAAGGAUGUUUUCAUUAAUCAGUGAACGAAAGUUAGGGGAUCGAAGACGAUCAGAUACCGUCGUAGUCUUAACCGUAAACUAUGCCGACUAGGGAUCGGGCGAUGUUAUUCUUUUGACUCGCUCGGCACCUUACGAGAAAUCAAAGUCUUUGGUUCUGGGGGAGUAUGUCGCAAGGUGCA
Molecule: ribosomal RNA, 1077 nt
Filed under: Diplodia tsugae
Lineage: Eukaryota; Fungi; Ascomycota; Dothideomycetes; Botryosphaeriales; Botryosphaeriaceae
Description: SSU rRNA
Rfam family: Eukaryotic small subunit ribosomal RNA
Source: RNAcentral